This 345-nucleotide unclassified non-coding RNA is filed under the name soil metagenome. Its description in RNAcentral is "partial contains 5.8S ribosomal RNA, internal transcribed spacer 2, and large subunit ribosomal RNA". The stretch from base 1 to 120 matches the Rfam family "5.8S ribosomal RNA", at positions 35 to 154 of the family's 154-position model. The record is from RNAcentral.
GAUGAAGAACGUAGCGAAAUGCGAUAAGUAAUGUGAAUUGCAGAAUUCAGUGAAUCAUCGAAUCUUUGAACGCACAUUGCGCCCGCCAGUAUUCUGGCGGGCAUGCCUGUCCGAGCGUCAUUUCAACCCUCAAGCCCCCGGGCUUGGUGUUGGAGAUCGGCGAGCCCCCCGGGGCGCGCCGUCUCCCAAAUAUAGUGGCGGUCCCGCUGUAGCUUCCUCUGCGUAGUAGCACACCUCGCACUGGGAAACAGCGUGGCCACGCCGUAAAACCCCCCACUUCUGAGAGGUUGACCUCGGAUCAGGUAGGAAUACCCGCUGAACUUAAGCAUAUCAAUAAGCGGAGGA